GGACAGCGGAGGUCCUUAUUGAUCUUUCCCACACGCCUCGUAGGGUAGGAUAAAACUCCUGCAUUAACAGUCCGGGUAGCUCCUUCGAGAGAGGUCGGCUGGGUCUCCCGUAUCCCUGCCGGACCUAAGGGACUCGGCAUGCUUUGGUGCAAGCGGUACGGUUCUUGGUUUGCGGCGGCUAUAGUAAUAUAGCUAUUGGGAGGGACUUAAACCCGUGUCUACCUUCUUUGUUGCUUUGGCGGGCCGCUUCGGCGUCGGCUCCGGCUGAUAAUGCCCGCCAGAGGACUCAAACUCUUGUUAUAGUGUCGUCUGAGUAAAUUAUAAUAGUUAAAACUUUCAACAACGGAUCUCUUGGUUCUGGCAUCGAUGAAGAACGCUCCGAAAUGCUAUAAGUAAUGUGAAUUGCAGAAUUCAGUGAAUCAUCGAAUCUUUGAACGCACAUUGCGCCCCUUGGUAUUCCGAGGGGCAUGCCUGUUCGAGCGUCAUUAUGACCAAUCAAGCCCAGCUUGGUAUUGGGGUUCGCGGUUUCGCGGCCCUUAAAAUCAGUGGCGGUGCCGCCCGGCUCUAACCGUAGUAACUUUCUCGCUAUAGUGUCCGGGUGGCUCCUCCAAAACUCCCCCACUUCUAGGUUGACCUCGGAUCAGGUAGGGACACCCGCUGAACUUAGCAUAUCAAUAAGCUGAGGAAAA
This 689-nucleotide ribosomal RNA is filed under the name uncultured Meliniomyces. RNAcentral's name for it is "eukaryotic LSU rRNA". The stretch from base 332 to 485 matches the Rfam family "5.8S ribosomal RNA". Lineage: Eukaryota; Fungi; Ascomycota; Leotiomycetes; Helotiales; Helotiaceae. The record is from RNAcentral.